This 360-nucleotide ribosomal RNA is filed under the name uncultured bacterium. RNAcentral describes it as "partial 16S ribosomal RNA". It matches the Rfam family "Bacterial small subunit ribosomal RNA", at positions 338 to 696 of the family's 1533-position model. The record is from RNAcentral.
CCUACGGGGGGCUGCAGUGAGGCAUAUUGGUCACUGGGCGGAAGCCUGAACCAGCCAAGUAGCGUGCGGGAUGCAGGCCCUACGGGUCGUAAACCGCUUUUGCACGGGGAUAACACCCUACACUUGUGGAGGUCUGCAGGUACCGUGCGCAUAAGGGCCGGCUAAUUCCGUGCCCGCAGCCGCGGUAAUACGGAAGGCCCGAGCGUUAUCCGGAUUCAUUGGGCUUAAAGGGCGCGUAGGCGGGCGUUCAAGUCAGCUGUAAAAUCGCGCGGCUCAACCGCGCCCCGCAGUGGAAACUGGACGCAUUGAGUUCACAACAGGCAGGCGGAAUUCGUGGUGUAGCGGUGAAAUGCAUAGAUA